Erpetoichthys calabaricus (reedfish) is the source of this 696-nucleotide long non-coding RNA. RefSeq lists it as uncharacterized. The record is from RefSeq and is a predicted model, not a curated record. The transcript is spliced from 2 exons. Lineage: Eukaryota; Metazoa; Chordata; Cladistia; Polypteriformes; Polypteridae.
UUUUUCAUUUAAGGAAGGAGAAUCAAAUGCUGUCACAGACUUAAGAAUGGUAUACAAGUGAAUGGCCCAAAGUUCCGGAACAAGCGCCACUGCUGGAUCUGCUCAAAUAUGAAGGGGGCACCGGCUAAAGCAAAUGGCCAUUCUGAUAUACCCAUACCAACUUUUUAAGUACCUUGUAGCUCCAGCGCUGUACCGCCAUCAAACAGAAAUGACAUAAACUGAUCUGUACAAUCCUUUCAUUUUUCUAACCGCUGCAACAAGCAUGUCAUUCAUUUAUAAGGAAACUGCUUUAGUUAUUUUCUUUGUAUUCUUUUAUCAAUUUAUAUAUUUGAGAAAGUUACAAAGUAGUCCGCAAAUUUGCUUAAUCAGAAAAGUGUAUAAAAUGUCUAAACAUUAGGAGAGAAGACAGACUAUAAAGCAUGAAGGACGCUAUCUCAGAUGAGGAUUCAAUAGAGUCUUUGUUUUAGUAACUGUAAUUGAAAUUAAUUGUAAAGUUCUAGGGAUAUGGAGCUUGGACCAAUGCUAACGAGUGUGUAAAUUGGACACAUGGAUGGAUGAAUGAGUGGAUUUUUAUGGAUUUUUGUGAGGGUGCAUUUCCAUACUGCAUACAAAACAUACACAAAAAUGUAUAUAUAAGACUUUGCUUGUAGAAAUGUUUAAACGUCUGCAGUUUUAAUAAAAAAUGUAUGCAAAUAA